Molecule: ribosomal RNA, 507 nt
Filed under: uncultured bacterium
Lineage: Bacteria
Description: bacterial SSU rRNA
Rfam family: Bacterial small subunit ribosomal RNA
Source: RNAcentral
CAGGAUGAACGCUAGCUACAGGCUUAACACAUGCAAGUCGAGGGCAGCAUGAAACUUAGCUUGCUAAGUUUGAUCGGCGACCGGCGCACGGGUGAGUAACACGUAUCCAACCUACCGUUUACUACGGGAUAGCCUUCUGAAAAAGGAGAUUAAUACCGUAUGGUAUUCUAAAGUUUCAUGACAUUAGAAUUAAAGGUUUACCGGUAAUCGAUGGGGAUGCGUUCCAUUAGAUAGUAGGCGGGGUAACGGCCCACCUAGUCAGCGAUGGAUAGGGGUUCUGAGAGGAAGGUCCCCCACAUUGGAACUGAGACACGGUCCAAACUCCUACGGGAGGCAGCAGUGAGGAAUAUUGGUCAAUGGGCGAGAGCCUGAACCAGCCAAGUAAGCGUGAAGGAUGACUGCCCUAUGGGUUGUAAACUUCUUUUAUAAAGGAAUAAAGUGGUCCACGUGUGGAUUUUUGUAUGUACUUUAUGAAUAAGGAUCGGCUAACUCCGUGCCAGCAGCCGC